Long non-coding RNA from Pyrgilauda ruficollis (rufous-necked snowfinch), 2127 nucleotides. RefSeq lists it as uncharacterized. NCBI's taxonomy places the organism in Eukaryota, Metazoa, Chordata, Aves, Passeriformes, Passeridae. The transcript has 4 exons. The record is from RefSeq and is a predicted model, not a curated record.
CCCUCCCUCCCUACUGGAAGAUCUUUUUUAUUUUCUCUUGCUGCCUCCUAUGCUGGCAACGUCCUGCGAGUGGCUAUUUUGCUUUUGCACCGAGAGAAGAGCUUCCCCCCUCGCCCUCUCUUCUGACACUUAUGGAUGAAAUCUACACUGAUGUCUAACCUAUAAUGAGUGCCAAUGUUUUGACCUUUCAAUAGAGAGCUGAUUUUGGAGAACGGCUUACUCCUGUGAUUGAAAAACUCUCUGGAAGGUUGAUGGAGCAUGAGCAUGCUUUCUUAGGAAAAUAAGGAUUUUAGGAUUUCACUGAACAGUUUGAGUUUGUUCUUUUUUUUUUUUUUUUUUUUUCCUGUACAAAAGCAGUUACAUUCUUGUUAAUGAAAAUCAGGAUUAUAUUGCAAGGCAAAGGUAUCUAAGGCUCCCUUGUGAGAUAUUUAAAAGGUGAAAGUUUGAUGGAGUGUUCCUUGGUCUGACACAGGUUCAGAGUAUUUCUCAUAGAUUCUUAUUCAGCAAAAAAAGGUGGUUUCUGGUUCACAACUGUAAAUCAAAGGGGUUUUACAUUUAGGGCCUAAUCCUACAAACUUUAAUAUACACAAGUAGUUCUAAUGACUCACGACCAUGAAUAAGGAUUUGCAGAAUGGUAUUCUCAUUAGAUGCACACUUUCUUUCCUUUUACAAAUUUAGUAUAUAUUAAAGUAUUUAGAACUUUAAGACAAGUCUAAAUGUUUUUUUAGAAAGUGCAAAGAGUUUUGCAGUAAUGUAGUAAUUGGGUCUUUCCCAUUUACAAGCUCUAGUAUCUUUUAAGAGUGCUGCAGUUGUCAGUUAUGAUUAGAGUCCACUUAAUGUGUUGAUUUGCUCUAGAAUAUUUUUGUGCUGAAUUUUGGCCCAUAUUAAUUUUUAAUUUUCUUUUUCUAGAGCUAUUUUGUACUUGGUAUUCAACAUGAAUGUUUCUUUACCCGAAGAGUAGGUGAAACUUGCAAGAAAGGUGGUGGGGUGCAUUUGUUUUAUUUUCCUACUCUUAGCAUCUCCUAUUGUAGUUCUUAUUUAGCAAAUCAACUACUGAUUUUGUUGGAAGUUCAACCUGAAUUAAGGGCUUGCCGUGCUUGCCCCUUAAAAAUUGCUGGUGUGGCUAUUGCAAGCUGGGUGCUUGACUUUGUAAACUGUUUUGCAAUAUCUAAUUGUAAUGAGGUUGAAAAGAUAAAAAUGUGCAGACUUCUUUACUGAAGUGCUUCAGAUGUGGAACUUUUCAUGGCCACUUCUACUGUUCCUACUGUAGGUAUAACACUUGAGGCUCUGCAAGUCUUGUUAACUAAAUCAUAAUUUGAAAGCUGACAAUGCAUGCUUGUUGCUCAUCCAAAAGGAACUGUUGCAGAUUACUUUUACAGUUAGUUUAUGAUUUCUUUAAGGAUUUCUCUUGCUUUGCAAAGGCAACUGAAAUAAUUUUCCUGAAAGAGAUCUCUAGCUAUAAAUGCAACCCGUUCCUAGUUAUUACAAUACAUGUAAAAUCAACCGUUGUUUGAUAUCUUAGGCAUGACUAUUUUAAGUUUUAAAUCUGAAGCAACUGAAUUUCCUGGAUUUUGUCAGUUUAAACUAAAUCCAGCCCUACAUUAUUUUAGAAUGGAGUUUUGUAGAGUAUAAGGUUUAAAUAGACAUUAAUUUUUAUUAUUACUUCAGACAUUCAAUGAAACAUGUAUAUAGGAAGAAUUUAAGACUGACAUUCUUACACAUCAUUUUUCCUUGUCUGUUGGUAAAAUGAUCUUGCUAAGCAAUAGGAAAAGACAAGCAAAUGGCAUGGAAAUUCUUUUGGAAAAAUAGUUAAAAUAUGCUAACUGGGAUAUUUAAAUGCUUAUUCUUCUCACUCAAAUAUAAAUAUAUAAGUAAGGCAUUGCCCCCUUUUUGUUGUUAUUUUUGUCUAAUUUCAACAGAAGCCUAAGGAGGAAUUUAUGUUGACCCAUACUUUGAAGGUUUCAGUGGGGGAAUGAGAAAUGUAAUCAAAAUUAAGUGUUCAUAUGGUGUAUUGAUGGCUUCUUAAUACACCUUGGUUUAGAUUGCUGUUUGCACACUAAAAACAGGGCAUGUAUGAAGAUGCAAUUGCUAAUUGAGUAGUGCAUUUGAAUAAACAAUUGUUUCUAA